GACUGCGGAGGAUCAUUAUCGUAGGGCUUCGGCCCUGUCGAGAUAGAACCCUUGCCUUUUUGAGUACCUUUCGUUUCCUCGGCAGGCUCGCCUGCCAAUGGGGACCACAAAAAACACUUUGCAGUACCUGUAACAGUCUGAACAAACAAACCAAAAUUAAAACUUUCAACAACGGAUCUCUUGGUUCUGGCAUCGAUGAAGAACGCAGCGAAAUGCGAUAAGUAAUGUGAAUUGCAGAAUUCAGUGAACCAUCGAAUCUUUGAACGCACAUUGCGCCCUCUGGUAUUCCGGGGGGCAUGCCUGUUCGAGCGUCAUUACAACCCUCAAGCUUUGCUUGGUAUUGGACAUUGCCAGUUUCUGGCAGGUCUUAAAAUCAGUGGCGGUGCCAUUUGGCUUCAAGCGUAGUAAUUCUUCUCGCUUUGGAGAUCCAAGUGGUUACUUGCCAAUAACCCCCAAUUUUUUCAGGUUGACCUCGGAUCAGGUAGGGAUACCCGCUGAACUUAAGCAUAUCAAUAAGCGGAGGA
This 524-nucleotide ribosomal RNA is filed under the name uncultured Pleosporales. RNAcentral describes it as "eukaryotic LSU rRNA". The stretch from base 161 to 314 matches the Rfam family "5.8S ribosomal RNA". Lineage: Eukaryota; Fungi; Ascomycota; Dothideomycetes; Pleosporales. The record is from RNAcentral.